RNAcentral lists this ribosomal RNA (484 nucleotides) under uncultured bacterium. Its description in RNAcentral is "bacterial SSU rRNA". It matches the Rfam family "Bacterial small subunit ribosomal RNA", at positions 791 to 1275 of the family's 1533-position model. The record is from RNAcentral.
UAGUCCACGCCGUAAACGAUGUCAACUAGCUGUUGGGAUUUAUCUUAGUAGCGAAGCUAACGCGAUAAGUUGACCGCCUGGGGAGUACGCGCGCAAGCGUAAAACUCAAAGGAAUUGACGGGGCCCGCACAAGCGGUGGAGCAUGUGGUUUAAUUCGAUGCAACGCGAAGAACCUUACCAGGCCUUGACAUCCUGAGAACUUUCUAGAGAUAGAUUGGUGCCUUCGGGAAUUCAGUGACAGGUGCUGCAUGGCUGUCGUCAGCUCGUGUCGUGAGAUGUUGGGUUAAGUCCCGCAACGAGCGCAACCCUUGUCCUUAGUUGCCAGCACGUUAUGGUGGGAACUCUAAGGAGACUGCCGGUGACAAACCGGGNGGAAGGUGGGGAUGACGUCAAGUCCUCAUGGGCCUUUAUGCUCAGGGGCUACACACGUGCUACAAUGGGGCUGUACAAAGGGUUGCAACACUGCGAGGGUGAAGCCAAUCCC